RNAcentral lists this ribosomal RNA (3000 nucleotides) under Lactococcus lactis. RNAcentral describes it as "23S ribosomal RNA". It matches the Rfam family "Bacterial large subunit ribosomal RNA". The record is from RNAcentral. Lineage: Bacteria; Bacillati; Bacillota; Bacilli; Lactobacillales; Streptococcaceae.
GGCAAAGUUAAUAAGGGCGCACGGUGGAUGCCUUGGCACUAAGAGCCGAUGAAGGACGUGACUAACGACGAUAUUCUAGGGGGAGCAGUAAGUACGCAUUGAUCCCUAGGUCUCCGAAUGGGGAAACCCAGCUGCUACUAGCAGUUAUUCAUGAGUGAAUACAUAGCUCAUGUAAAGGUAACGCAGAGAACUGAAACAUCUAAGUACCUGCAGGAAGAGAAAGUAAAAACGAUUUCGUAAGUAGCGGCGAGCGAACGCGAAGAAGGGCAAACCAAGAAGCUUGCUUCUUGGGGUUGUAGGACUGCAACGUGGACUUAAGCAUUAUAGUCGAAUAACCUGGGAAGGUUAAUCAAAGAGGGUAAUAAUCCCGUAGACGAAAUAGCGCUUAUACCUAGCAGUAUCCUGAGUAGGGCUGGACACGCGAAAUCCAGUUUGAAUCCGGGAGGACCAUCUCCCAACCCUAAAUACUCCUUAGUGACCGAUAGUGAACCAGUACCGUGAGGGAAAGGUGAAAAGAACCCCGAGAGGGGAGUGAAAUAGCACCUGAAACCGUGUGCCUACAAGAAGUUCGAGCCCGUUAAUGGGUGAGAGCGUGCCUUUUGUAGAAUGAACCGGCGAGUUACGUUAUGAUGCGAGGUUAAGUUGAAGAGACGGAGCCGUAGGGAAACCGAGUCUGAAUAGGGCGACUUAGUAUCAUGAUGUAGACCCGAAACCUAGUGACCUAUCCAUGAGCAGGGUGAAGGUGUGGUAAGACGCACUGGAGGCCCGAACCAGGACACGUUGAAAAGUGUUUGGAUGACUUGUGGAUAGCGGAGAAAUUCCAAACGAACUGGGAGAUAGCUGGUUCUCUCCGAAAUAGCUUUAGGGCUAGCGUCGAAAUGUAAGUGUAUUGGAGGUAGAGCACUGUUUGGGUGAGGGGUCCGUCUAGGAUUACCAAUCUCAGAUAAACUCCGAAUGCUAAUACACAUGUUCGGCAGUCAGACUGCGAGUGCUAAGAUCCGUAGUCGAAAGGGAAACAGCCCAGACCAACAGCUAAGGUCCCAAAAUAUAUGUUAAGUGGAAAAGGAUGUGGGGUUGCACAGACAACUAGGAUGUUAGCUCAGAAGCAGCUAUCAUUCAAAGAGUGCGUAAUAGCUCACUAGUCGAGUGACCCUGCGCCGAAAAUGUACCGGGGCUAAACAUAUUACCGAAGCUUUGGAUUGAUAUUUUAUCAAUGGUAGGAGAGCGUUCUUAACCGCGAUGAAGGUAUACCGUGAGGAGUGCUGGAGCGUUAAGAAGUGAGAAUGCCGGUAUGAGUAGCGCAAGAUAAGUGAGAAUCUUAUCCACCGUAAGACUAAGGUUUCCAGGGGAAGGCUCGUCCGCCCUGGGUUAGUCGGGACCUAAGGCGAGGCCGAAAGGCGUAGUCGAUGGACAACUGGUUGAUAUUCCAGUACUAGAUAUGAUCGUGAUGGAGGGACGCAGUAGGCUAAGAGAUGCCAGUUAAUGGAUUCUGGUCUAAGCAGUGAGGUGUGAGAUGUGUCAAAUGCAUUUCUCUUUAACAUUGAGCUGUGAUGGGGAAGCAACUACGGUUGCGAACUCUCUGAUGUCACACUGCCAAGAAAAGUUNNNNNNNNNNNNNNNNNNNNNNNNNNNNNNNNNNNNNNNNNNNNNNNNNNNNNNNNNNNNNNNNNNNNNNNNNNNNNNNNNNNNNNNNNNNNNNNAGCUUCUAGCGUAAAGUCAUAUCUACCCGUACCGCAAACCGACACAGGUAGUCGAGGCGAGUAGCCUCAGGUGAUCGAGAGAACUCUCGUUAAGGAACUCGGCAAAAUAGCCCCGUAACUUCGGGAGAAGGGGUGCUGGUGUAAAAGCCAGCCGCAGUGAAUAGGCCCAAGCAACUGUUUAUCAAAAACACAGCUCUCUGCUAAACCGCAAGGUGAUGUAUAGGGGGUGACGCCUGCCCGGUGCUGGAAGGUUAAGAGGAGUGCUUAGACGUAAGUCGAAGGUAUGAAUUGAAGCCCCAGUAAACGGCGGCCGUAACUAUAACGGUCCUAAGGUAGCGAAAUUCCUUGUCGGGUAAGUUCCGACCCGCACGAAAGGCGUAAUGAUUUGGGCACUGUCUCAACGAGAGACUCGGUGAAAUUUUAGUACCUGUGAAGAUGCAGGUUACCCGCGACAGGACGGAAAGACCCCAUGGAGCUUUACUGUAGUUUGAUAUUGAGUACCUGUAAGUCAUGUACAGGAUAGGUAGGAGCCAUUGAAAUAGGGACGCUAGUUUCUAUUGAGGCGUUGUUGGGAUACUACCCUUGACUUAUGGUUACUCUAACCCGCUGGCAUAAUCGGCCAGGGAGACAGUGUCUGACGGACAGUUUGACUGGGGCGGUCGCCUCCUAAAGAGUAACGGAGGCGCUCAAAGGUUGGCUCAGAUUGGUUGGAAAUCAAUCGUAGAGUGUAAAGGUAAAAGCCAGCUUGACUGCGAGAGCUACAACUCGAGCAGGUAGGAAACUAGGACUUAGUGAUCCGGUGGUACCGCAUGGAAGGGCCAUCGCUCAACGGAUAAAAGCUACCCUGGGGAUAACAGGCUUAUCUCCCCCAAGAGUUCACAUCGACGGGGAGGUUUGGCACCUCGAUGUCGGCUCGUCGCAUCCUGGGGCUGUAGUCGGUCCCAAGGGUUGGGCUGUUCGCCCAUUAAAGCGGCACGCGAGCUGGGUUCAGAACGUCGUGAGACAGUUCGGUCCCUAUCCGUCGCGGGCGUAGGUAAUUUGAGAGGAUCUGUCCUUAGUACGAGAGGACCGGGAUGGACUUACCGCUGGUGUACCAGUUGUUCCGCCAGGAGCACGGCUGGAUAGCUAUGUAGGGAAGGGAUAAGCGCUGAAAGCAUCUAAGUGCGAAGCCCACCUCAAGAUGAGAUUACCCAUUCGUAAGAAUUAAGAGCCCAGAGAGAUGAUCUGGUAGAUAGGCUGGAAGUGGAAGAGUUGCGAGACUUGGAGCGGACCAGUACUAAUCGCUCGAGGACUUUACCAA